Molecule: long non-coding RNA, 1393 nt
Organism: Cebus imitator (Panamanian white-faced capuchin)
Lineage: Eukaryota; Metazoa; Chordata; Mammalia; Primates; Cebidae
Exons: 2
Source: RefSeq, a predicted model, not a curated record
CAUAUUGCUCCUAGGCUACAAACCUAUACAACAUGUUACUGUACUGAAUAUUAUAGGCAAUUGUAAUAUAAAGAAUAUGUGACCUAAGUUGGCCCAAUCCAAAACCAAUGGAGAAACUUAUCCCAUGGUUGAAAGGACUUAUUUUCACUCCCAUUGGAGAGAGAGCUUCAAACAGAAGGAAGUUACCACUGUGGACAACAGAGGAAAGAGGGACUUUCUUGAGCUGUGACUCAAUAAGCCCUGGGAGCCACACCACCUUUCACUUCCUUUUGAGGGAAAAAAUACAUCUUAUCAUAGUUUAAAUUUGUUUUGGUCAGCCUUUCUGUUAAUUUGCAACACAGAUGCAGCUAGGAAAUUUGUCUUCAUAGCUCAAAAUCUGCAAUAUAGAGCUGAAAAGCACAACACGAAAACUUCACUAUGCAACCACAAAUAUCAAUAAUCGAAUAGACCAAGCAGAGGAAAGAAUUUCAGAGCUUGAAGGCCAUCUUGCUGAAAUCUUACAUGCAGGUAAGAUUAGAGAAAAAAGAAUGAAAAGGAAUGAACAAAACCUCUGAGAACUAUGAUUAUGUAAAAAGACUGAAUCUAUGAAUGAUUGGGGUACAUGAAGCAGAGAUGGAGAAUGGAGCCAAGUUGGAAAACAUACUUCAGGAUAUCAUCCAGGAGAACUUCCCCAACCUAACAAAAAGGCCAAUAUUCAAAUUCAGAAAAUCCAGAGAACCUCAGUAAGAUACUUCAUGAGAAGAUCAACCCCAGAACACACAAUUACCAGAUUCUCCAAGGUUGAAAUGAAGGAAAAAAUGUUAAGGGCAGCCAGAGAGAACUGCCAAGUCACAAAGGGAAGCUCAUCAGACUAACAGUGGACCUCUCAGUAGAAACCCUGUAAGCCAGAGGAAAUUGGUGGCCAAUAUCAAACAUUCUUAAAGAAAAGAAUCUCCAACCCAGAAUUUUCUAUCUGGCCUAACUAAACUUCAUAAGCAAAGGAAAAAUAAAAUCAUUUUCAGACAAGAAAAUGCUGAGGGAAUUCGUCACCACCAGGUCUGCCUUGCAAGAGCUCCUGAAGGAAGCACUAAAUAUGGAAAGGAAAAACUGUUACCAGACAUUGCAAAAACACACUAAAGUACAAAGAUAUGACACUAUGAAGCAAUUACAUCAAAAAAUAUGCAAAUAACCAGCUAACAUCAUGAUGAAAGGAUCAAAUUCACAUAUAGCAAUGUAACCUUAAAUGUACAUGGGCUAAAUACCCCAAUUAAAAGAUACAAAAUGGCAAGGAGAAUAAAGAGUCAAGAUCUACUGGUGUGCUGUAUUCAAGAGACCCAUCUCAUGGGCAAAGACACAAUAGGCUCAAAUAAAGGGAUGUAGGAAAAUUUACCAAGCAAAUAGAAAGCAGAAAAAA